Molecule: non-coding RNA, 1026 nt
Organism: Hydra vulgaris (swiftwater hydra)
Lineage: Eukaryota; Metazoa; Cnidaria; Hydrozoa; Anthoathecata; Hydridae
Source: RefSeq, a predicted model, not a curated record
AUGUCGAAGGAAUGUUGAGCCGGCUUUUUUUGUUAGUUUUUCUAUAUUUUACAUGCAUUUUCUAAGCACCUGCCAAAAAUCAACGAAAAAUAAUUGGUAGCAGAUAGUAUACUAGGUGUUAGACUUUUGGUACAUAAUUUUGGUUUUUCUGUUGUUUUUUUUCGUUAAGCUUGUUACGGGUGUGGAUAGGGGGGCCGACUAUACAAAAACAUAACAAAUCCCAAUAUCGUAUUAUUUUGAAUUUUAUUUUUAGAUUAAAAUAAAUAAUGAAUACUAACAGAGAUGUUGUUAGAUCUAUAACAGAUAAUCCUGCUGCACAUUAUGAAGCUUUUUUGAGAUAUCUUCAAUCUACCCAGCCUACCACAGCUAAGUUUGUAACCUACCACAGCAACAUCUUCAUCUGCAAUUAGUGCUCUAGUUCCAUCCUCAAUUGCAUUGAGUGUUCCAUCUACAUCUGGAAUAAUUGUUACAUCUUCAGCUGCUACAAGUGUCCCACAACCUCCACAACAAUCAACACAACCUUCUGCUGAGCUUACCUAUGGUGCCUAUAGAAGAUAUAGGGACCAGCACUCUGGACCGAUGAGUAAUCGAUCAUUUUUGCGGUGGGUCCGGUUAGGAGGGAAUGAUGGGUUGAUACUCCAACCUGCAUCUUGUAAUGUGGUAAGAUUAUUAAAGUUAUAUCUCGCUUUUUACACAAUUUAAAGACAUUUUUGAAAUUUUUAUUAACAUUUUUUUAAAGUUUAAAUAAAAAGAGGUGGGGGGGGGGGAUGUUGGGCGUGGCACACACCCCUCCCCUCACUAACAUGGUAAAAUAAUCUUAAAUACUAAUUUCUCUUUUUAAAUAAAAUCAGUUUAAAACCAUUUUUUAAAUAUCUUUUAAAAUUUUUUUUUAGGUUGGAGAAGACUAAGAGGAAGGGGGAGGGAGGGGCGUUAAGCUUGGCAUCGUUCCGCCCCUAAUGUCAAUUUAUGCACCACUUGUAUAUUCUGUUAAGUUAAAAAAUAUAAUUUAAAGUCUUUAACACAAAA